This 122-nucleotide small RNA is filed under the name Arabidopsis thaliana (thale cress). Its description in RNAcentral is "ATSL279140". Lineage: Eukaryota; Viridiplantae; Streptophyta; Magnoliopsida; Brassicales; Brassicaceae. The record is from RNAcentral.
AUUAUAAAGAUGAUUUAAAAAUAUAUGAUUUUAUUUUAUUUGAUUUUAAAUCUAUAGUAAACUGUGAGUUGUAUAUGUUUUGUUGAUAUUAUCUAUAUUGUUUAGUGUUUUAGAUUAUAUAU